CUCCGUAGGGGGCCCGCGUUCUCCGUCCUUACUGGGUUUCCAGGGCGCGUAGGCGUCAUGGUACUUUAGAUGUGAAAGCCCGUGGCUCAACCACGGGAUUGCAUUUAAAACUACCAAGCUAGAGUACAGGAGAGGUAAGUGGAAUUCCUAGUGUAGCGGUGAAAUGCGUAGAUAUUAGGAAGAACACCAGUGGCGAAGGCGACUUACUGGACUGAAACUGACGCUGAGGCUCGAAAGCGUGGGGAGCAAACAGGAUUAGAUACCCUGGUAGUCCACGCCGUAAACGAUGAGUGCUAGGUGUUGGGGGGGAACCCUCGGUGCCGCAGCUAACGCAUUAAGCACUCCACCUGGGGAGUACGAUCGCAAGAUUGAA
RNAcentral lists this ribosomal RNA (373 nucleotides) under uncultured bacterium. Its description in RNAcentral is "bacterial SSU rRNA". It matches the Rfam family "Bacterial small subunit ribosomal RNA", at positions 523 to 898 of the family's 1533-position model. The record is from RNAcentral.